CGUGGCAGUUCAUCAAAUCAACCAAAAAGAUCAAAAAAGAAAUAGAAAAGUGAGGGAAAAAGAACCAUUUGCUCAACCCGUGUAUAGCUCCCCCAAAUUGGAGAACCCAUAUUGCACGAGAACAACUCCGACAUCUUCCGGUGGAAAUCGCAAAAACAAUGUGUUUUGUCUCAUUUAUCACACGUUGCCCGACCAUAUACCUUCAACUUCCAGUGUUGGGAGGCAUGAAAAUUCUCGUCCCUUUCACCUAUUCAGUUCAAACCUUGGACACCUUCUCCAAAGCCAUCUCCUCCAUUCAUAACGGUGAGACAAAAUCGCCGGACUCAUCUCCAUCUCCGGCUCGAAACAAGUGAAGAAGGUACCACAGUAGCAUUACCCAAACAUACCUGCCGAUAUUUAAAGGAAGUGAGCCUUGUUUUUCACCUCCCCCGUCACGAAAGCACCACCACAGUUCUCCUUCUUCGUCCGACGCCAAACCACCAUUGAAGAACACAUCUCCGUCAAGUUUAUAAAGGUAAUGGGGGAAUUAAUUAUGUUAUAAAAAUUCAGACCUAGAUGAUAUAACAUAAUUAUUGAUGUGCGAUUGAAAUUUGUGUGAAUGGUCAUUUAUUUAGGAGGUGGAGUUGAUGAAUAACAAGCUUUUUUAGUCAAGAAUUUGCUUGUUUGAGAAUUCAAGCAGUGAGUCUGAAAAGGGGGCGGAGUUGGUGAGAUUAAUAGAAGAAGAUAUGCAUCUUAUUGCUCUGUUCUUUACUGCAGCGAAGUGUUUAGGAGGAAAUGUUGGGAUGGUUUUGGUUCUUUAGGAAGAUAUGCCUAAUGCCUGUUGUAGGUGUUGUGAUUUUAAGUUUUGAAAACUUUAGCAUUGAACACGAAUUAUUCUCGAUCUUCUUAGUUCGCGUAGUAUUGACAUUUGUUUUAUGUGGUUGUUUUGCAUCUUAGAAUGGGAGGAAGGAAUGCUAUAUGUGGUCGUACUACGAGAAUCAAGCGGCGAAUCCUGCUGCUAAGGAAGACGUUGAAAAUUUAUCGAGCGUGUUUGAAACGCUAGCUCGAAUAAGUGCGAAAGGAGACGUCGAGAUUUUAUAAAAUGUGACAUUCCAUAAGGGAAAAUGAUUGAGUGGGGAAUUCGAAAGGAAAGGGGCUGGCUUGAUUAGUAGUGAGGAGGGGGAUUCUAAUAUUAUUGUAAUUUGUAUUUGAUAUUGGAAAGUGUGUGUAAACUUUGUUCCUUUUAUUAUGUUUGGCAUCA
RNAcentral lists this long non-coding RNA (1240 nucleotides) under Olea europaea subsp. europaea. The record is from RNAcentral. Lineage: Eukaryota; Viridiplantae; Streptophyta; Magnoliopsida; Lamiales; Oleaceae.